AUUGAACGCUGGCGGCAGGCUUAACACAUGCAAGUCGAGCGGGGGAAGGUAGCUUGCUACCGGACCUAGCGGCGGACGGGUGAGUAAUGCUUAGGAAUCUGCCUAUUAGUGGGGGACAACAUCUCGAAAGGGAUGCUAAUACCGCAUACGUCCUACGGGAGAAAGCAGGGGAUCUUUGGACCUUGCGCUCAUAGAUGAGCCUAAGUCGGAUUAGCUAGUUGGUGGGGUAAAGGCCUACCAAGGCGACGAUCUGGAGCGGGUCUGAGAGGAUGAUCCGGCACACUGGGACUGAGACACGGCCCAGACUCCUACGGGAGGCAGCAGUGGGGAAUAUUGGACAAUGGGGGGAACCCUGAUCCAGCCAUGCCGCGUGUGUGAAGAAGGCCUUAUGGUUGUAAAGCACUUUAAGCGAGGAGGAGGCUACUUUAGUUAAUACCUAGAGAUAGUGGACGUUACUCGCAGAAUAAGCACCGGCUAACUCUGUGCCAGCAGCCGCCGUAA
This 501-nucleotide ribosomal RNA is filed under the name uncultured bacterium. Its description in RNAcentral is "partial 16S ribosomal RNA". It matches the Rfam family "Bacterial small subunit ribosomal RNA", at positions 30 to 523 of the family's 1533-position model. The record is from RNAcentral.